CGUUCAGGGGUAAACCUAAGAAACCCAAAAGAUCGAACGGGGAGAUUCAUCGUCAGCGGCGUUGGCUUCGCGUCGGUGGGCGAUGUCCUGCGGUUUCUCGCGCGGGCACGCUACCGUGCGCGCAUGACCGGCGUCGUCGUCGUGCACUUCUCCCCUAGUAGAACGUCGCGACCCGCUGGGUGUCGGUCUACGGCCCGGGUGAGGUGACUGUCGCGUCGCCGGUAAAACGGCACGCGGCAAACCCUCGGACGCCCGGCCGGCUGCCCGGCGGUACUCGCACGGUAUCAGGCCGCAGUUUAUCUGCGUCAAGCCCGUCGCAAGCGCGCGCCACGGUUACUCGGAGGUACGGACCUAGCGCCGUCCCCGGUCCUGGUCCGCUGUUGGCCGACGGUGACCCUUUGACAGGCCUUACGGGGCGACGUGGGGGGGUGUUAGCCAUUCCACGUCCGCCCUAAUACCGGUCGGCGACGCUACUGCUUUGGGUACUCUUAGGACCCGUCUUGAAACACGGACCAAGGAGUCUAACAUGUGCGCGAGUCAUUGGGACUAGCAAAACCCAAAGGCGCAAUGAAAGUGAAGGUCGGCCUUGGCGCCGACCGAGGGAGGAUGGGCAGCGUCGCGAUGCGGCCUCGCACUCCCGGGGCGUCUCGUUCUCAUCGCGAGAAGAGGCGCACCAAGAGCGUACACGUUGGGACCCGAAAGAUGGUGAACUAUGCCUGGUCAGGACGAAGUCAGGGGAAACCCUGAUGGAGGUCCGUAGCGAUUCUGACGUGCAAAUCGAUCGUCGGAACUGGGUAUAGGGGCGAAAGACUAAUCGAACCAUC
Molecule: ribosomal RNA, 824 nt
Filed under: Odontomachus latidens
Lineage: Eukaryota; Metazoa; Arthropoda; Insecta; Hymenoptera; Formicidae
Description: eukaryotic LSU rRNA
Rfam family: Eukaryotic large subunit ribosomal RNA
Source: RNAcentral